This 642-nucleotide long non-coding RNA is filed under the name Bos indicus x Bos taurus (hybrid cattle). RNAcentral's name for it is "lncRNA (ENSBIXG00000017812.1)". The record is from RNAcentral. Lineage: Eukaryota; Metazoa; Chordata; Mammalia; Artiodactyla; Bovidae.
CAGGGUCAAUCACAGGAUGUCUGAUUCCUCAGAACUUACUUUUUCUAUCAAUCUAUUUCUCUUUUCUAGGUUUGGGACAAGACACUAUAUCAGAUUAUUUGAAAAGUCAAUACAAGGAAGCACUGAAAGAAGUGAGAGGGCCCAAAGGCAACAAUACCCAGUAGCAACAAGCAAACCCAGGGUGGGAAGGAGGUGGUAUCUAACUCCAGUUUUUGUUGGCCCCCAUUCUGGAGGAGGAACUGAAAGCUCGGAUUCAUGGAGCUCAAUUUCUGACCGCACCGCAUCUGACGACGUCCUCACUCAUUGACAUUUCAGGUGAGCGACCCCUAAAUACUCUUUCAUGUUGAAGUCACUUUGACUUGGAGGUUCUGUUUCAUUCAAAAAUGUGCUAUCCGACACAAAUAAUUGCUUUUAUUAGGGAUAUAAACCUAAAUAUUUAAGUAGAUUAAAAAAAAAAACCUUCACAAGAAACUAAAAGAAACAAACAAAGCCCCCACGGAAUUAUCCAGAGAACAUUCCAAUGUCCAGAGAACAUUUGCAGACAAAUUUGAAUCUCUGACUUAAGUGAAAAAAAAAAAAGUAAAAUACACCUAGACCGUGGUAGAUUCGUUUGUUUUACACGUGAAGGUAAUCAAGACUGUG